UACGGAGGAUGCGAGCGUUAUCCGGAUUCAUUGGGUUUAAAGGGUGCGUAGGCGGUAUGGUAAGUCAGCGGUGAAAGUUUGUGGCUCAACCAUAAAAUUGCCGUUGAAACUGGAAGACUUGAGUGUGUUUGAGGUAGGCGGAAUGCGUGGUGUAGCGGUGAAAUGCUUAGAGAUCAUACAGAACACCGGUUGCGAAGGCAGCUUACCAAACUAUAUCUGACGUUGAGGCACGAAAGCGUGGGUAGCAAACAGG
Molecule: ribosomal RNA, 253 nt
Filed under: uncultured Parabacteroides sp.
Lineage: Bacteria; Pseudomonadati; Bacteroidota; Bacteroidia; Bacteroidales; Tannerellaceae
Description: partial 16S ribosomal RNA
Rfam family: Bacterial small subunit ribosomal RNA
Source: RNAcentral